UAGGGAAUCUUCGGCAAUGGACGAAAGUCCGACCGAGCAACGCCGCGUGAGUGAAGAAGGUUUUCGGAUCGUAAAACUCUGUUGUUAGAGAAGAACAAGGACGUUAGUAACUGAACGUCCCCUGACGGUAUCUAACCAGAAAGCCACGGCUAACUACGUGCCAGCAGCCGCGGUAAUACGUAGGUGGCAAGCGUUGUCCGGAUUUAUUGGGCGUAAAGCGAGCGCAGGCGGUUUCUUAAGUCUGAUGUGAAAGCCCCCGGCUCAACCGGGGAAGGUCAUUGUAAACUGGGAGACUUGAGUGCAGAAGGGGGGAGUAGAAUUCCAUGUGUAGCGGUGAAAAGCGUAGAUAUAUGGAGGAACACCAGUGGCGAAGGCGUCUCUCUGGUCUGUAACUGACGCUGAGGCUCGAAAGCGUGGGGAGCAAACAGG
This 429-nucleotide ribosomal RNA is filed under the name Gemmatimonadota bacterium. RNAcentral describes it as "Gemmatimonadetes bacterium partial 16S ribosomal RNA". It matches the Rfam family "Bacterial small subunit ribosomal RNA", at positions 355 to 776 of the family's 1533-position model. Lineage: Bacteria; Pseudomonadati; Gemmatimonadota. The record is from RNAcentral.